Molecule: ribosomal RNA, 256 nt
Filed under: uncultured Pseudomonas sp.
Lineage: Bacteria; Pseudomonadati; Pseudomonadota; Gammaproteobacteria; Pseudomonadales; Pseudomonadaceae
Description: partial 16S ribosomal RNA
Rfam family: Bacterial small subunit ribosomal RNA
Source: RNAcentral
CGGCGGACGGGUGAGUAAUGCCUAGGAAUCUGCCUGGUAGUGGGGGACAACGUUUCGAAAGGAACGCUAAUACCGCAUACGUCCUACGGGAGAAAGCAGGGACCUUCGGGCCUUGCGCUAUCAGAUGAGCCUAGGUCGGAUUAGCUAGUUGGUGAGGUAAUGGCUCACCAAGGCGACGAUCCGUAACUGGUCUGAGAGGAUGAUCAGUCACACUGGAACUGAGACACGGUCCAGACUCCUACGGGAGGCAGCAGUA